UACGUAGGCAGCGGGCGUUGUUCGGAAUUACUGGGCGUAAAGAGUGUGUAGGCGGUGCUCUAAGUUCGGUGUGAAAUCUCCUGGCUUAACUGGGAGGGUGCGCCGGAAACUGGAGUGCUUGAGCGUGGGAGAGGAAAGCGGAAUUCCUGGUGUAGCGGUGAAAUGCGUAGAUAUCAGGAGGAACACCUGUGGUGUAGACGGCUUUCUGGACCAUUGCUGACGCUGAGACACGAAAGCGUGGGUAGCAAACAGG
Molecule: ribosomal RNA, 253 nt
Filed under: uncultured bacterium
Lineage: Bacteria
Description: partial 16S ribosomal RNA
Rfam family: Bacterial small subunit ribosomal RNA
Source: RNAcentral